This 500-nucleotide ribosomal RNA is filed under the name uncultured bacterium. Its description in RNAcentral is "partial 16S ribosomal RNA". It matches the Rfam family "Bacterial small subunit ribosomal RNA", at positions 30 to 523 of the family's 1533-position model. The record is from RNAcentral.
AUUGAACGCUGGCGGCAUGCCUUACACAUGCAAGUCGAACGGCAGCGGGGACUUCGGUCCGCCGGCGAGUGGCGAACGGGUGAGUAAUGUAUCGGAACGUACAUUUCAGUGGGGGAUAACGUAGCGAAAGUUACGCUAAUACCGCAUAUUCUCUGAGGAGGAAAGCAGGGGACCUUCGGGCCUUGCGCUGAUGGAGCGGCCGAUAUCAGAUUAGCUAGUUGGUGGGGUAAAGGCUCACCAAGGCUACGAUCUGUAGCGGGUCUGAGAGGAUGAUCCGCGACACGGGGACUGAGACACGGCCCAGACUCCUACGGGAGGCGGCAGUGGGGAAUUUUGGACAAUGGGCGAAAGCCUGAUCCAGCCAUGCCGCGUGAGUGAAGAAGGCCUUCGAGUUGUAAAGCUCUUUCGGACGGUAAGAAAUCAUGAGGGCUAAUAUCCCUUGUGGAUGACGGUACCGUAAUAAGAAGCACCGGCUAACUACGUGCCAGCAGCCGCAGUAA